GACGAACGCUGGCGGCGUGCUUAACACAUGCAAGUCGAACGGAAAGGCCCUGCUUGCAGGGUACUCGAGUGGCGAACGGGUGAGUAACACGUGGGUGAUCUGCCCUGCACUUCGGGAUAAGCCUGGGAAACUGGGUCUAAUACCGGAUAGGAGCCAUUUUUAGUGUGAUGGUUGGAAAGUUUUUUCGGUGUAGGAUGAGCUCGCGGCCUAUCAGCUUGUUGGUGGGGUAAUGGCCUACCAAGGCGGCGACGGGUAGCCGGCCUGAGAGGGUGGACGGACACAUUGGGACUGAGAUACGGCCCAGACUCCUACGGGAGGCAGCAGUGGGGAAUAUUGCACAAUGGGCGCAAGCCUGAUGCAGCGACGCCGCGUGGGGGAUGACGGCCUUCGGGUUGUAAACUCCUUUCGCUAGGGACGAAGCUUUUUGUGACGGUACCUAGAUAAGAAGCACCGGCUAACUACGUG
RNAcentral lists this ribosomal RNA (465 nucleotides) under uncultured bacterium. RNAcentral's name for it is "partial 16S ribosomal RNA". It matches the Rfam family "Bacterial small subunit ribosomal RNA", at positions 28 to 507 of the family's 1533-position model. The record is from RNAcentral.